This is a long non-coding RNA of Antechinus flavipes (yellow-footed antechinus), 587 nucleotides long. RefSeq lists it as uncharacterized. The record is from RefSeq and is a predicted model, not a curated record. The transcript has 4 exons. NCBI's taxonomy places the organism in Eukaryota, Metazoa, Chordata, Mammalia, Dasyuromorphia, Dasyuridae.
ACUGUAACCUUCCAAUGUGAUUAUGUGCCUGUCUUAUAUACAUGUUUCCUUAUCCCUAUCUUCUCAGAGAUCCAAAAAUCUGACUGUAGCCCCUCACCUCUGUCUGGAAGAUUAAUCCCCAGAUAGAUUAAGACCCCUGAAAGACAGCAUAGUCUAGAAGGAAGAUGAUGGAAAAGAUGAUGGACAGAACUAUGUAGGAGGUAGCUGUGAAGGGCUGUGGUUGGACCUUUUCUAUCAGGAAUCUAAAGUGGUUGCAGGUGCUGUAGAUGGAAAAUGAUGGAUUCAGAGUUGAGAAAGAAGAAAUCAGUCAGGAUCAUAUCUGGAAAAUUGCUCUGCAUUUUCAAUGAUCACCAAAGCUCAGUGCCACAGAAGCCCAUCUCUUUAACACCAAUAGUCUCUUACUAAAUGGCUGUGAAUUGUAAGAAUAAAAAUUACAAGUAAUCCUAAGGACAAGUAAUCCUAAGGACCAGAGAAGAAUGGGAAGCUUGUUACCACCAUCAUCACCACUUGGAAUUGAACUGCUCUUGGUUCCUGAUCCUUGGAGCAUCUAGAAUACUCUUGUUUCCUGUUCUUGGAAUUCCUAUUGG